RNAcentral lists this long non-coding RNA (509 nucleotides) under Capsella grandiflora. Its description in RNAcentral is "long non-coding RNA (CGRA_LNC000143)". The record is from RNAcentral. Lineage: Eukaryota; Viridiplantae; Streptophyta; Magnoliopsida; Brassicales; Brassicaceae.
CAAACUUUUUGUUAUACUAGUACAGUCGUACAUCUCUACGGUUUUGUGGUAGCGGAUCAUACAAUGUUUUCCUGUUGCGACGACAAGAAGAAACAACUUCAGCCAGCGGAGCUGUCCCAACCAUCUCAGUGGCAGCGGCAAAGUGUUAGUGCUCCUACGUAUCACCCUCAGCCACAGAGUAUCAAUGUUGAAACUGGUACCAUGGAUGAGUUUUUUAUUUUAUUUUUUAAUGAUAUAUUAUUAUGGCUUUGAAUAUUUGAUGAUAGAUUUUUUUUUCUUUCUGAAGAUCACUUGCGGGUUAAAAGCGAGACUGUUGUGAAACCUGUUGUUCCGGUCAAGCCACAUGCCGUAGUCCAGGCGCCUAAGACUAAGGCUUUGGUGAAGAAGACCCACAGUAAGAGAGACAACGGAGCUUUAUUUACUGCGGCUUCUACUUCAGCAUUUGUUGGCGGUUGUGGGGGCAACGGUGACAGCAGUUGCGGUGGUGGCGGUGGCUGUGGCGGUGGUGG